GAUGAACGCUGGCGGCGUGCCUAAUACAUGCAAGUCGAGCGAACAGAUGAGGAGCUUGCUCCUCUGACGUUAGCGGCGGACGGGUGAGUAACACGUGGAUAACCUACCUAUAAGACUGGGAUAACUUCGGGAAACCGGAGCUAAUACCGGAUAAUAUAUUGAACCGCAUGGUUCAAUAGUGAAAGACGGUUUUGCUGUCACUUAUAGAUGGAUCCGCGCCGCAUUAGCUAGUUGGUAAGGUAACGGCUUACCAAGGCAAGGAUGCGUAGCCGACCUGAGAGGGUGAUCGGCCACACUGGAACUGAGACACGGUCCAGACUCCUACGGGAGGCAGCAGUAGGGAAUCUUCCGCAAUGGGCGAAAGCCUGACGGAGCAACGCCGCGUGAGUGAUGAAGGUCUUCGGAUCGUAAAACUCUGUUAUGAGGGAAGAACAAAUGUGUAAGUAACUAUGCACGUCUUGACGGUACCUAAUCAGAAAGCCACGGCUAACUACGUG
This 497-nucleotide ribosomal RNA is filed under the name uncultured bacterium. RNAcentral's name for it is "partial 16S ribosomal RNA". It matches the Rfam family "Bacterial small subunit ribosomal RNA", at positions 28 to 507 of the family's 1533-position model. The record is from RNAcentral.